RNAcentral lists this ribosomal RNA (301 nucleotides) under uncultured bacterium. RNAcentral describes it as "partial 16S ribosomal RNA". It matches the Rfam family "Bacterial small subunit ribosomal RNA", at positions 509 to 807 of the family's 1533-position model. The record is from RNAcentral.
CAGUCGCCGCGGGAAUACGUAGGUGGCAAGCGUUGUCCGGAAUUAUUGGGCGUAAAGGGCUCGCAGGCGGUUUCUUAGGUCUGAUGUGAAAUACCCGAGCCUAACUUGGGAGGUGCAUAUGGAACUGGGUAGCUAGAGUGUGUCAGAGGGAGGUAGAACUCCACGUGUAGCAGUGAAAUGCGUAGAGAUGUGGAAGAAUACCGAUGGCGAAGGCAGCCUCCUGGGAUAACACUGACGUUGAGGCUCGAAAGCGUGGGGAGCAAACAGGAUUAGAUACCCCCGUAGUCCCUGUCUCUUAUAC